AUAAAAUGUGGUCACCAUUUUCCUCUAAUCGAUAUGUUAGGUACUUCAUAUAUUAAGUAUAAUGAUUCAUUUUAAAUAGCAACUGCUUAGAAAACUAACGUGUGAAUAGUUAAAUCAACUUGUAUUCAAAAUGUGUGGGUGUUUCGUUGUGCUGGCACAAAUUGUGGUUUUCAUAUCUAAUUUAGUGAUAAUGCUUUUAGGUGGACUUGCAACGGGAGCUGGGGUCUUAAUCAAGGUUUUAUAGAUUCAAGUCUGGAAGCACUACAAAUUGAGGAUCUACCAGAUGUAUCUGAUUUGAAAGUAUUAGUAAUACCGCUUAUAGUGGCUGGUGUAGUAAUAUUCGUGUUUGGCAUUACUGGUUGCAUCGGAGCUACUUGCAAAGUUAUAUGCUGUCUGAUCUUGAACGUCGCGGGAUUUGUUAUCCUCGCUGUUAUGACAAUUUAUCUUCUAGUAAAAUGGAUACAGUUGUUAGCGCAAACUGAAUCAUUUAUAAAUGACUUACUGUCAGAAUAUCUAUUCAACAACAAUGCAGCACAGAAUGGAACUUUCCAAUUAAUUGAGUAUACGUUACGAUGCUGUGGAGUGAACGGAACGGAUUCGUAUGUUGCUGCUG
Long non-coding RNA from Manduca sexta (tobacco hornworm), 613 nucleotides. RefSeq lists it as uncharacterized. The transcript is spliced from 4 exons. NCBI's taxonomy places the organism in Eukaryota, Metazoa, Arthropoda, Insecta, Lepidoptera, Sphingidae. The record is from RefSeq and is a predicted model, not a curated record.